GAUGAACGCUGGCGGCGUGCCUAAUACAUGCAAGUCGAGCGAACGGACGAGAAGCUUGCUUCUCUGAUGUUAGCGGCGGACGGGUGAGUAACACGUGGAUAACCUACCUAUAAGACUGGGAUAACUUCGGGAAACCGGAGCUAAUACCGGAUAAUAUUUUGAACCGCAUGGUUCAAAAGUGAAAGACGGUCUUGCUGUCACUUAUAGAUGGAUCCGCGCUGCAUUAGCUAGUUGGUAAGGUAACGGCUUACCAAGGCAACGAUGCAUAGCCGACUUGAGAGGGUGAUCGGCCACACUGGAACUGAGACACGGUCCAGACUCCUACGGGAGGCAGCAGUAGGGAAUCUUCCGCAAUGGGCGAAAGCCUGACGGAGCAACGCCGCGUGAGUGAUGAAGGUCUUCGGAUCGUAAAACUCUGUUAUUAGGGAAGAACAUAUGUGUAAGUAACUGUGCACAUCUUGACGGUACCUAAUCAGAAAGCCACGGCUAACUACGCG
This 497-nucleotide ribosomal RNA is filed under the name uncultured bacterium. RNAcentral describes it as "partial 16S ribosomal RNA". It matches the Rfam family "Bacterial small subunit ribosomal RNA", at positions 28 to 507 of the family's 1533-position model. The record is from RNAcentral.